GGGGGCAUAGCUCAGUGUGUUAUCUACGAGAUGCGAAACUAGCCUAAUCAGCUAGCAAAGCAAAUCUAUUGGGAUAGCCGGUAGAGCGCAUGAAUGAUAAUCAUGAGGUCGGUGGUUCGAGUCCACUUGUUCCCG
RNAcentral lists this transfer RNA (135 nucleotides) under Furfurilactobacillus milii. RNAcentral describes it as "tRNA-Ile". The stretch from base 71 to 135 matches the Rfam family "tRNA". Lineage: Bacteria; Bacillati; Bacillota; Bacilli; Lactobacillales; Lactobacillaceae. The record is from RNAcentral. RNAcentral also lists the same sequence under 1 other name.